This 632-nucleotide ribosomal RNA is filed under the name uncultured bacterium. RNAcentral's name for it is "bacterial SSU rRNA". It matches the Rfam family "Bacterial small subunit ribosomal RNA", at positions 118 to 735 of the family's 1533-position model. The record is from RNAcentral.
UGGGUAACCUGCCCUUGAAGUAGGGGAUAACACUUGGAAACAGGUGCUAAUACCGUAUAACAACCAAAACCACCUGGUUUUGGUUUAAAAGACGGCUUCGGCUGUCACUUUAGGAUGGACCCGCGGCGUAUUAGCUUGUUGGUAAGGUAACGGCCUACCAAGGCGAUGAUACGUAGCCGACCUGAGAGGGUAAUCGGCCACAUUGGGACUGAGACACGGCCCAAACUCCUACGGGAGGCAGCAGUAGGGAAUCUUCCACAAUGGACGAAAGUCUGAUGGAGCAACGCCGCGUGAGUGAUGAAGGGUUUCGGCUCGUAAAACUCUGUUGUUGGAGAAGAACAGGUGUCAGAGCAACUGUUGACAUCUUGACGGUAUCCAACCAGAAAGCCACGGCUAACUACGUGCCAGCAGCCGCGGUAAUACGUAGGUGGCAAGCGUUGUCCGGAUUUAUUGGGCGUAAAGCGAGCGCAGGCGGUUUUUUAGGUCUGAUGUGAAAGCCUUCGGCUUAACCGGAGAAGUGCAUCGGAAACCGGGAGGCUUGAGUGCAGAAGAGGACAGUGGAACUCCAUGUGUAGCGGUGAAAUGCGUAGAUAUAUGGAAGAACACCAGUGGCGAAGGCGGCUGUCUGGUCU